RNAcentral lists this long non-coding RNA (326 nucleotides) under Elaeis guineensis (African oil palm). Its description in RNAcentral is "long non-coding RNA (EGUI_LNC055391)". The record is from RNAcentral. Lineage: Eukaryota; Viridiplantae; Streptophyta; Magnoliopsida; Arecales; Arecaceae.
GCUGGAAGAAGUCUGGAAGAGAUUCGGAGAAUAGCCGAUCACUAUAGAAAAUUGACUGAUAGCGGAGUUCAGAGGGUGUUUGGAGCAAUCCGGUAGAUGAAUGGAGAAGCUCAUGAUUGGAGAGGCUCGGAUGGCAUUAUGGAAGCUCGGAAGGUCGGAGGAGUUCAGAAAGAUGCCACACAAGGUUGGAAACUGGAAAACCCCUGGAAGGGUCGGCCUUUUGCAAACUUCGGCUGGAGAUAUUUUAUACCCAACACCAGUCCCUCUACUUCUAAGUUCGGGUUUUGAAUGAAGUACAGAGAAAUUUUCACAGUCGAAGGCGCGCU